GGUUGAGGCCACACCGCCUGAUUCACGCCCGAUCUCGUUUGAUCUCGGAAGAUAAGAUAGGUUGGGCCUGGUUAGUACUUGGAUGGGAGAGACCGCCUGGGAAUACCAGGUGCUGUAAGCC
This 121-nucleotide ribosomal RNA is filed under the name Scophthalmus maximus (turbot). The record is from RNAcentral. Lineage: Eukaryota; Metazoa; Chordata; Actinopteri; Pleuronectiformes; Scophthalmidae.